UACGUAGGGGGGCAAGCGUUGUCCGGAAUCAUUGGGCGUAAAGCGCGUGUAGGCGGCCUUGUAAGUCCGUUCUGAAAGCCCGGGGCUCAACCCCGGGAGGCGGAUGGAUACUGCAGGGCUCGAGUACGGAAGAGGCGAGUGGAAUUCCCGGUGUAGCGGUGAAAUGCGCAGAUAUCGGGAGGAACACCAAUGGCGAAGGCAGCUCGCUGGGACGUUACUGACGCUGAGACGCGAAAGCGUGGGGAGCAAACAGG
This 254-nucleotide ribosomal RNA is filed under the name uncultured bacterium. RNAcentral's name for it is "partial 16S ribosomal RNA". It matches the Rfam family "Bacterial small subunit ribosomal RNA", at positions 524 to 776 of the family's 1533-position model. The record is from RNAcentral.